Rhinichthys klamathensis goyatoka is the source of this 1277-nucleotide long non-coding RNA. RefSeq lists it as uncharacterized. The record is from RefSeq and is a predicted model, not a curated record. Lineage: Eukaryota; Metazoa; Chordata; Actinopteri; Cypriniformes; Leuciscidae. The transcript has 3 exons.
GUCCCGCUGAGCCAGUGAACCAAGCCACAUCCUCGCUGUUGCAUCCAGCCCUGUAUCUGAGAAAGAGUGAGCAUAUUGCAUCCAUACUAACACACUCUGUUUAACAGUCUAUGCUGAGCCAGUGAACCAAGCCACAUCCUCGCUGUUGCAUCCAGCCCUGUAUCUGAGAAAGAGUGAGCAUAUUGCAUCCAUACUAAUCUGCUUGUUUACCAGUCUAUGCUGAACAAGUGAACCGAGUCACAUCCUCGCUGUUGCAUCCAGCCCUGCAUCUGAGAAGGAGUGAGCAUAUUGAAUCCAUACUAACACACUCUGUUUAACAGUCUAUGCUGAGCCAGUGAACCAAGCCACAUCCUCGCUGCUGCAUCCAGCCCUGUAUCUGAGAAGGAGUGAGCAUAUUGCAUCCACACAAAUCUGCUUGCUUACCAGUCUAUGCUGAACCAGUGAACCGAGCCACAUCCUCGCUGUUGCAUCCAGCCCUGUAUCUGAGAAGGAGUGAGCAUAUUGCAUCCAUACUAAUCUGCUUGUUUAACGGUCUAUGCUGAAGUCCCGCUGAGCCAGUGAACCGAGCCACAUCCUCGCUGCUGCAUCCAGCCCUGUAUCUGAGAAGGAGUGAGCAUAUUGCAUCCAUCCUAAUCUGCUUGUUUAACAGUCUAUUCUGAAGUCCCGCUGAGCCAGUGAACCGAGCCACAUCCUCGCUGCUGCAUCCAGCCCUGCAUCUGAGAAGGAGUGAGCAUAUUGAAUCCAUACUAACACACUCUGUUUAACAGUCUAUGCUGAGCCAGUGAACCAAGCCACAUCCUCGCUGUUGCAUCCAGCCCUGUAUCUGAGAAGGAGUGAGCAUAUGGCAUCCAUACUAAUCUGCUUGUUUAACAGUCUAUGCUGAAGUCCCGCUGAGCCAGUGAACCGGGCCACAUCCUCGCUGCUGCAUCCAGCCCUGUAUCUGAGAAGGAGUGAGCAUAUUGCAUCCACACAAAUCUGCUUGCUUACCAGUCUAUGCUGAAGUCCCGCUGAGCCAGUGAACCGAGCCACAUACUCGCUGCUGCAUCCAGCCCUGUAUCUGAGAAAGAGUGAGCAUAUUGCAUCCAUCCUAAUCUGCUUGUUUAACAGUCUAUGCUGAAGUCCCGCUGAGCCAGUGAACCGAGCCACAUCCUCGCUGCUGCAUCCAGCCCUGUAUCUGAGAAGGAGUGAGCAUAUUGCAUCCACACAAAUCUGCUUGCUUACCAGUCUAUUCUGAAGUCCCGCUGAGCCAGUGAACCGAGCCACAUCCUCGCUGCUGC